Molecule: ribosomal RNA, 497 nt
Filed under: uncultured bacterium
Lineage: Bacteria
Description: partial 16S ribosomal RNA
Rfam family: Bacterial small subunit ribosomal RNA
Source: RNAcentral
GAUGAACGCUGGCGGCGUGCCUAAUACAUGCAAGUCGAGCGAACAGAUGAGGAGCUUGCUCCUCUGACGUUAGCGGCGGACGGGUGAGUAACACGUGGAUAACCUACCUAUAAGACUGGGAUAACUUCGGGAAACCGGAGCUAAUACCGGAUAAUAUAUUGAACCGCAUGGUUCAAUAGUGAAAGACGGUUUUGCUGUCACUUAUAGAUGGAUCCGCGCCGCAUUAGCUAGUUGGUAAGGUAACGGCUUACCAAGGCAACGAUGCGUAGCCGACCUGAGAGGAGGGUCGGCCACACGAGAACUGAGACACGGACCAGACUCCUACGGUAGGCAGCAGUAGGGAAUCUGCCGCAGUGGGCGAAAGCCUGACGGAGCAACGCCGCGUGAGUGAUGAAGGUCUUCGGAGCGGAAAACUCUGUUAUUAGUGAAGAACAAAUGUGUAAGUAACUAUGCACGUCUUGACGGUACCUAAUCAGAAAGCCACGGCUAACUACGUG